RNAcentral lists this transfer RNA (70 nucleotides) under Pseudohynobius flavomaculatus (yellow-spotted salamander). RNAcentral's name for it is "tRNA-Val". It matches the Rfam family "tRNA". From Rfam's summary of the family: Transfer RNA (tRNA) molecules are approximately 80 nucleotides in length. Their secondary structure includes four short double-helical elements and three loops (D, anti-codon, and T loops). The record is from RNAcentral. Lineage: Eukaryota; Metazoa; Chordata; Amphibia; Caudata; Hynobiidae. RNAcentral also lists the same sequence under 1 other name.
CAAAAUAUAGCUAAGACUAUAGCAUCUUGCUUACACCAAGAAGACACUUGUUAGAUUCAAGUUGUUUUGA